RNAcentral lists this ribosomal RNA (1980 nucleotides) under metagenome. RNAcentral's name for it is "bacterial LSU rRNA". It matches the Rfam family "Bacterial large subunit ribosomal RNA", at positions 1 to 2537 of the family's 2925-position model. The record is from RNAcentral.
UCGCGCGUUCAGAUCUAUGUGAGGGAAAGUUUAAAAGCUGUGGAAGUAUCGAAAGGGUACAACCGCGUACUUUUUGUAGAACGGUCCGGCGAGUUACGGCGGCUGGCGAGGUUAAGCACUACAGGUGUGGAGCCGAAGGGAAACCAAGUCUUAAUAGGGCGUCCAGUCAGCCGGAGUAGACCCGAAACCGGGUGAUCUAUCCAUGUCCAGGAUGAAGUUGCCGUAAAAGGCAAUGGAGGUCCGAACGCACAUCUGUUGAAAAAGGUGGCGAUGAGGUGUGGAUAGGGGAGAAAUUCCAAUCGAACCCGGAGAUAGCUGGUUCUCCUCGAAAUAGCUUUAGGGCUAGCCCUGUGACAGUCAGACGGAGGUAGAGCACUGAAUUUCCUAGGGGGCGUCAAAGUCUACCGAAGAAUAUCAAACUCCGAAUGCCGUAAUGAUGAUUCACAGGAGUCAGACUGCACGAGAUAAGUUGGGUAGUCAAAAGGGAAAGAGCCCAGACCUACAGCUAAGGUCCCAAAGUGCGUGUUAAGUGGAAAAGGAUGUGGGAUUUCGAAGACAACUAGGAUGUUGGCUCAGAAGCAGCCAUCCAUUCAAAGAGUGCGUAAUAGCUCACUAGUCGAGAGGUCCUGCGCCGAAAAUGUCCGGGGCUAAAACACGACACCGAAGCUUAGGAAUAUACAUUGUAUAUUGGUAGAGGAGCAAUCUUAACGGGAAGAAGCAGUACUGUAAGGUGCUGUGGACUGUUAAGAAGAGAGAAUGCCGGAAUGAGUAGCGAGAUGGAGGUGGGAAUCCUCCAGGCCGAAUAUCCAAGGUUUCCAGGGUAAAGCUGAUCUGCCCUGGGGAAGUCGGGGCCUAAGGCGAGGUCGAAAGACGUAGCUGAUGGACAACAGGUUGAUAUUCCUGUACUAUCAUAUGACAGAACUGUGGGGACGCAGAAAGAGAGCCUGAGCCGGGAAAGGGAAAACCGGUGCAAGCGGGGUAGGAGUCGUGCAGGCAAAUCCGCACGGCAAUCCGAAGACGUGAUGCGGAGCGAAUUAAAGUAGCGAAGCAGGUGAGCUGGCUGCCAAGAAAAGCCGCUAUUGUUCAUAUGAUACCCGUACCGUAAACCGACACAGGUGGAUGAGGAGAGAAUCCUAAGGCCGGCGGGAGAAGCAUUGUUAAGGAACUCGGCAAAAUGACCCCGUAACUUCGGGAGAAGGGGUGCCUGCGAGAGCAGGCCGCAGAGAAUAGGCUCAAGCAACUGUUUAGCAAAAACACAGGUCUAUGCGAAACCGAAAGGUGAGGUAUAUGGGCUGACGCCUGCCCGGUGCUGGAAGGUUAAGAGGAGAGGUUAGCGGUAACGCGAAGCUUUGAAUUUAAGCCCCAGUAAACGGCGGCCGUAACUAUAACGGUCCUAAGGUAGCGAAAUUCCUUGUCGGGUAAGUUCCGACCCGCACGAAAGGCGUAAUGAUUUGAGCGCUGUCUCGACAAUGCAUCCGGUGAAAUUGAAGUACCAGUGAAGAUGCUGGUUACCUGCGCCAGGACGGAAAGACCCCAUGGAGCUUUACUCCAGUCUGGUACUGGGACUCGGUAUUGCAUGUACAGGAUAGGUGGGAGGCUAGGAGAUGGUAACGCCAGUUGCCAUGGAGCCGCUGUUGGGAUACCACCCUUGCAGUAUUGGGUUUCUAACCAGCCGCCGUGACCCGGCGGUGGGACAAUGCCAGACGGGGAGUUUGACUGGGGCGGUCGCCUCCGAAAGGGUAUCGGAGGCGCCCAAAGGUUCCCUCAGAAUGGACGGAAACCAUUCGAAGAGUGCAAAGGCAGAAGGGAGCUUGACUGCGACACCGACGGGUGGAGCAGGUACGAAAGUAGGGCUUAGUGAUCCGGUGGUAUUAAGUGGGAAUGCCAUCGCUCAACGGAUAAAAGCUACCCUGGGGAUAACAGGCUUAUCACUCCCAAGAGUUCACAUCGACGGAGUGGUUUGGCACCUCGAUGUCGGCU